UCCUACGGGAGGCAGCAGUGGGGAAUAUUGCACAAUGGGCGCAAGCCUGAUGCAGCAACGCCGCGUGAGGGACGAAGGCCUUCGGGUUGUAAACCUCUUUUAGUAGGGAAGAAGCGACUGGGUUUUCCUGGGAGUGACGGUACCUGCAGAAAAAGCACCGGCUAACUACGUGCCAGCAGCCGCGGUAAUACGUAGGGUGCAAGCGUUGUCCGGAAUUAUUGGGCGUAAAGAGCUCGUAGGCGGUUUGUCGCGUCUGCUGUGAAAACCCGAGGCUCAACCUCGGGCCUGCAGUGGGUACGGGCAGACUAGAGUGCGGUAGGGGAGAUUGGAAUUCCUGGUGUAGCGGUGGAAUGCGCAGAUAUCAGGAGGAACACCAAUGGCGAAGGCAGAUCUCUGGGCCGUAACUGACGCUGAGGAGCGAAAGCAUGGGGAGCGAACAGGAUUAGAUACCCUGGUAGUCCAUGCCGUAAACGUUGGGAACUAGAUGUGGGGACCAUUCCACGGUCUCCGUGUCGCAGCUAACGCAUUAAGUUCCCCGCCUGGGGAGUACGGCCGCAAGGCUAAAACUCAAAGGAAUUGACGGGGGCCCGCACAAGCGGCGGAGCAUGCGGAUUAAUUCGAUGCAACGCGAAGAACCUUACCAAGGCUUGACAUAUACCGGAAACGGCUGGAAACAGUCGCCCCGCAAGGUCGGUAUACAGGUGGUGCAUGGUUGUCGUCAGCUCGUGUCGUGAGAUGUUGGGUUAAGUCCCGCAACGAGCGCAACCCUCGUCCUAUGUUGCCAGCACGUAAUGGUGGGAACUCAUGGGAUACUGCCGGGGUCAACUCGGAGGAAGGUGGGGAUGACGUCAAAUUAUCAUGCCCCUUAUGUCUUGGGCUUCACGCAUGCUACAAUGGCCGGUACAAAGGGCUGCGAUACCGCAAGGUGGAGCGAAUCCCAAAAAGCCGGUCUCAGUUCGGAUUGAGGUCUGCAACUCGACCUCAUGAAGUCGGAGUCGCUAGUAAUCGCAGAUCAGCAACGUUGCGGUGAAUACGUUCCCGGGCCUUGUACACACCGC
RNAcentral lists this ribosomal RNA (1058 nucleotides) under uncultured Cryobacterium sp. RNAcentral describes it as "bacterial SSU rRNA". It matches the Rfam family "Bacterial small subunit ribosomal RNA", at positions 337 to 1393 of the family's 1533-position model. The record is from RNAcentral. Lineage: Bacteria; Bacillati; Actinomycetota; Actinomycetes; Micrococcales; Microbacteriaceae.